GAGUUUGAUCCUGGCUCAGGACGAACGCUGGCGGCGUGCCUAACACAUGCAAGUCGAACGGAAACAGCUUGAAGCUUGCUUUGAACUGCUUCAGUGGCGGACGGGUGAGUAACGCGUGAGGAACCUGCCUUUCAGAGGGGGAUAACGUUUGGAAACGAACGCUAAUACCGCAUGAUAUUCCGGAGUCACAUGGCACUGGAAUCAAAGGAGCAAUCCGCUGAGAGAUGGACUCGCGUCCGAUUAGCCAGUUGGCGGGGUAACGGCCCACCAAAGCGACGAUCGGUAGCCGGGCUGAGAGGCUGAACGGCCACAUUGGGACUGAGACACGGCCCAGACUCCUACGGGAGGCAGCAGUGGGGGAUAUUGCACAAUGGAGGAAACUCUGAUGCAGCAACGCCGCGUGAGGGAAGACGGUCUUCGGAUUGUAAACCUUUGUCUUCGGUGACGAUAAUGACGGUAGCCGAGGAGGAAGCUCCGGCUAACUACGUGCCAGCAGCCGCGGUAAUACGUAGGGAGCGAGCGUUGUCCGGAUUUACUGGGUGUAAAGGGUGCGUAGGCGGCUCUGCAAGUCAGGUGUGAAAACUAUGGGCUUAACUCAUAGAUUGCACUUGAAACUGUGGAGUUUGAGUGGAGUAGAGGCAGGCGGAAUUCCCGGUGUAGCGGUGAAAUGCGUAGAGAUCGGGAGGAACACCAGUGGCGAAGGCGGCCUGCUGGGCUUUAACUGACGCUGAAGCACGAAAGCAUGGGUAGCAAACAGGAUUAGAUACCCUGGUAGUCCAUGCCGUAAACGAUGAU
Molecule: ribosomal RNA, 795 nt
Filed under: uncultured bacterium
Lineage: Bacteria
Description: bacterial SSU rRNA
Rfam family: Bacterial small subunit ribosomal RNA
Source: RNAcentral